CCUACGGGAGGCAGCAGUGGGGAAUAUUGGACAAUGGGGGGAACCCUGAUCCAGCCAUGCCGCGUGUGUGAAGAAGGCCCUCGGGUUGUAAAGCACUUUCAGUGAGGAAGAACGCCUGGUGGUUAAUACCCAUCAGGAAAGACAUCACUCACAGAAGAAGCACCGGCUAACUCCGUGCCAGCAGCCGCGGUAAUACGGAGGGUGCGAGUGUUAAUCGGAAUUACUGGGCGUAAAGCGCGCGUAGGUGGCUUGAUAAGCCGGUUGUGAAAGCCCCGGGCUCAACCUGGGAACGGCAUCCGGAACUGUCAAGCUAGAGUGCAGGAGAGGAAGGUAGAAUUCCCGGUGUAGCGGUGAAAUGCGUAGAGAUCGGGAGGAAUACCAGUGGCGAAGGCGGCCUUCUGGACUGACACUGACACUGAGGUGCGAAAGCGUGGGUAGCAAACAGGAUUAGAUACCCCGGUAGUC
This 465-nucleotide ribosomal RNA is filed under the name Vreelandella stevensii. RNAcentral's name for it is "partial 16S ribosomal RNA". It matches the Rfam family "Bacterial small subunit ribosomal RNA", at positions 338 to 795 of the family's 1533-position model. The record is from RNAcentral. Lineage: Bacteria; Pseudomonadati; Pseudomonadota; Gammaproteobacteria; Oceanospirillales; Halomonadaceae.